RNAcentral lists this ribosomal RNA (788 nucleotides) under uncultured Lactobacillus sp. RNAcentral's name for it is "bacterial SSU rRNA". It matches the Rfam family "Bacterial small subunit ribosomal RNA", at positions 28 to 776 of the family's 1533-position model. The record is from RNAcentral. Lineage: Bacteria; Bacillati; Bacillota; Bacilli; Lactobacillales; Lactobacillaceae.
GACGAACGCUGGCGGCGCGCCUAAUACAUGCAAGUCGAGCGAGCUUGCCUAGAUGAAUUUGGUGCUUGCACCAAAUGAAACUAGAUACAAGCGAGCGGCGGACGGGUGAGUAACACGUGGGUAACCUGCCCAAGAGACUGGGAUAACACCUGGAAACAGAUGCUAAUACCGGAUAACAACACUAGACGCAUGUCUAGAGUUUAAAAGAUGGUUCUGCUAUCACUCUUGGAUGGACCUGCGGUGCAUUAGCUAGUUGGUAAGGUAACGGCUUACCAAGGCAAUGAUGCAUAGCCGAGUUGAGAGACUGAUCGGCCACAUUGGGACUGAGACACGGCCCAAACUCCUACGGGAGGCAGCAGUAGGGAAUCUUCCACAAUGGACGCAAGUCUGAUGGAGCAACGCCGCGUGAGUGAAGAAGGGUUUCGGCUCGUAAAGCUCUGUUGGUAGUGAAGAAAGAUAGAGGUAGUAACUGGCCUUUAUUUGACGGUAAUUACUUAGAAAGUCACGGCUAACUACGUGCCAGCAGCCGCGGUAAUACGUAGGUGGCAAGCGUUGUCCGGAUUUAUUGGGCGUAAAGCGAGUGCAGGCGGUUCAAUAAGUCUGAUGUGAAAGCCUUCGGCUCAACCGGAGAAUUGCAUCAGAAACUGUUGAACUUGAGUGCAGAAGAGGAGAGUGGAACUCCAUGUGUAGCGGUGGAAUGCGUAGAUAUAUGGAAGAACACCAGUGGCGAAGGCGGCUCUCUGGUCUGCAACUGACGCUGAGGCUCGAAAGCAUGGGUAGCGAACAGG